GCUCUGGUGGCCUAGUGGUUAGAGCAUCCGCCUCUGAUGCGGGAGUGCGCGGGUUUGUUCCACUGCAGAGUCA
Molecule: non-coding RNA, 73 nt
Organism: Potamilus streckersoni
Lineage: Eukaryota; Metazoa; Mollusca; Bivalvia; Unionida; Unionidae
Source: the annotation of a GenBank genome assembly